RNAcentral lists this ribosomal RNA (253 nucleotides) under uncultured bacterium. RNAcentral describes it as "partial 16S ribosomal RNA". It matches the Rfam family "Bacterial small subunit ribosomal RNA", at positions 524 to 776 of the family's 1533-position model. The record is from RNAcentral.
UACGGAGGGGGCGAGCGUUAUUCGGAAUUAUUGGGCGUAAAGGGCGCGUAGGCGGCCUUGUAAGUCAAAGGUGAAAUCCCUCGGCUCAACUGAGGAACUGCCUUUGAAACUGCAAGGCUUGAGGCCGGGAGGGGGUAGCGGAAUUCCCAAUGUAGCGGUGAAAUGCGCAGAUAUCAGGAGGAACACCGGUGGCGAAGGCGGGUCUCUGGGCCGAUACUGACGCUGAGGAGCGAAAGCGUGGGGAGCGAACAGG